Long non-coding RNA from Mobula hypostoma (lesser devil ray), 176 nucleotides. RefSeq lists it as uncharacterized. The record is from RefSeq and is a predicted model, not a curated record. NCBI's taxonomy places the organism in Eukaryota, Metazoa, Chordata, Chondrichthyes, Myliobatiformes, Myliobatidae. The transcript is spliced from 3 exons.
CUAUCCGCUUAAAGUGUCGAGGAAGGUUGAAACAUUGAAGCUAAUGCAGAGCUGUCCUUCAGCUACAAUGUGUACACACAUGAAGAGCAGCCUGCCUUCUCUCCUGGAUGCAUAUCUCCCACCUCAGCUCAAGAAGCAGGAUAACCACGGUCAACAGAAAAGUCCACAAAAAGAUG